Molecule: long non-coding RNA, 357 nt
Organism: Ictalurus punctatus (channel catfish)
Lineage: Eukaryota; Metazoa; Chordata; Actinopteri; Siluriformes; Ictaluridae
Source: Ensembl
UGGAAACGUAACGAAAGGAUGUCAGUAAAUCUCAGAAUUAAAACCAAGACAGGAGUAGUUGUUCAGCCUGUCCAUCUUGGAGAUGUAAAGUAUCAGCUCAAUGGUGCUGCUCAAGUCCAUGAUGGAGAAGACAGAGACACUGAUUUGGCAGUUCAGCUGGACGAACGUGGUGCAUGACCUCUUUGCCGGCAACACUCCUGCGCAACACCCAGAUGAUAGACAGGUUGCAGAAGACCAUGAUGAAGAAGGCAGAAACGAUGAGACCGCUGAACACCUCGGUCACACUCAGUACUCCCAGAAUGCUCUUAGUGAGCGCAUAGACCAAGAGCAGCGCCCAUACGAAUGCUGAGAUGCCCG